This 513-nucleotide ribosomal RNA is filed under the name uncultured bacterium. Its description in RNAcentral is "bacterial SSU rRNA". It matches the Rfam family "Bacterial small subunit ribosomal RNA", at positions 15 to 518 of the family's 1533-position model. The record is from RNAcentral.
GAUCCUGGCUCAGGAUGAACGCUAGCGGCAGGCUAACACAUGCAAGUCGAGCGGCAAGGGCCUUCGGGCCCCUAGAGCGGCGGACGGGUGAGUAACACGUGGACAAUCUGCCCCCCGGCCCGGGAUAGCCCAGGGAAACCUGGAUUAAUACCGGAUGAGACGGGACCCGCGAUGGCGGGACCCGGGAAAGGCGCUGCGGCGCCGCCGGGGGAUGAGUCUGCGUCCCAUUAGCUAGACGGCGGGGUAACGGCCCACCGUGGCGACGAUGGGUAGCCGGCCUGAGAGGGUGGACGGCCACAUUGGAACUGAGACACGGUCCAGACUCCUACGGGAGGCAGCAGCUAAGAAUCUUCCGCAAUGGGCGAAAGCCUGACGGAGCCGACGCCGCGUGAACGAAGAAGGCCGUGAGGUUGUAAAGUUCUUUUCGGGAGGGGGAACAACCGUGGCAGGGAAUGGCCGCGGGAUGACGUGAAUCCCGGAAUAAGCCCCGGCUAACUACGUGCCAGCCGCAGC